CCCUUAGACGUUCUGGGCCGCACGCGCGCUACACUGACCAGUGCAACAAGCAUCCGUCCUUGGCCGACAGGCUCGGGCAAUCUUUGAACGCUGGUCGUGAUGGGGAUAGACUUUUGCAAUUUUUGGUCUUCAACGAGGAAUUCCUAGUAAACGCAAGUCAUCAACUUGCAUUGAUUACGUCCCUGCCCUUUGUACACACCGUCCGUCGCACCUACCGAUUGAAUGGUCCGGUGAAGCCUCCGGAUUGGCGCGCACCUCGGUGCCGCCGAGAAGUUGGCUAAACCUUACCAUUUAGAGGAAGGUGAAGUCGUAACA
Molecule: ribosomal RNA, 315 nt
Filed under: uncultured eukaryote
Lineage: Eukaryota
Description: partial 18S ribosomal RNA
Rfam family: Eukaryotic small subunit ribosomal RNA
Source: RNAcentral